UUACAUCUCUUCGGAGCAUUUUACGUAGGUGCUGCAUGGUUGUCGUCAGCUCGUGCCGUGAGGUGUCGGGUUAAGUCCCAUAACGAGCGCAACCCCUACCUUUAGUUGCCAUCAGGUAAUGCUGGGGACUCUAAAGGAACUGCCUACGCAAGUAGUGAGGAAGGCGGGGAUGACGUCAAAUCAGCACGGCCCUUACGUCCAGGGCUACACACGUGCUACAAUGGCCGAUACAGAGGGCAGCUACCUGGUGACAGGAUGCAAAUCUCCAAAGUCGGUCUCAGUUCGGAUCGGAGUCUGCAACCCGACUCCGUGAAGUUGGAUUCGCUAGUAAUCGCGCAUCAGCCAUGGCGCGGUGAAUACGUUCCCGGGCCUU
Molecule: ribosomal RNA, 373 nt
Filed under: uncultured Sphingobacteriales bacterium
Lineage: Bacteria; Pseudomonadati; Bacteroidota; Sphingobacteriia; Sphingobacteriales
Description: bacterial SSU rRNA
Rfam family: Bacterial small subunit ribosomal RNA
Source: RNAcentral